Molecule: long non-coding RNA, 3919 nt
Organism: Leopardus geoffroyi (Geoffroy's cat)
Lineage: Eukaryota; Metazoa; Chordata; Mammalia; Carnivora; Felidae
Exons: 2
Source: RefSeq, a predicted model, not a curated record
AACUCACUGCGCAUGCUCAGUAAAUAAAUGCUGGUUAAUGUACGUUAAAGGACGACUCCUCUCGCCAGCGCUCUUCAUCGCUUCUCCUACCUGCCUGUGAGCGUACUUGAGGUUUAAUUUUCUGGCCUUGAAGCUCAUUUUCUUUACAUCCCUUAAUCAAUUUUAUGACAUUUUAUUGGACUACUCUAAACUGUCCUGAGCUCUUCUGAAAUUCAAGAACAAAAACAAAGGAUGACUUUGAAGACCCAGCAAGAAACAGGACCCAUUAGGAAAGGGUCUUUAGCAGAAGGUUGUAAUGUGAAAUCACUUGAGCUAAUUUGCUGCAAAUCACUGCUAAAUCUAUUGCAGUGGGCAGAUCUGAACGGGCAAUUUCACAGGAGGAGAUGAGCUAACCUGAUCCUUACUCAUCUGCAAAUCCAUUUAGUCUUAUAGUGUCAUGUGCCUCUAAUUCGGGCAGCAGGGUAGGAUACCAACAGAAAUGGUGAACUCACUCUCCAGUUCCAACCAUUAGGCUCCUGGUUUUUACAUUUGGACGGGACAUUUGAUACAAUCUCCCACGUCUUGGCAGGUGAACUACUUUACCGAGGAGGAACCUGGGACUUGUCACAUGUCAGUGACUGGGGGAGCCGGAACCAGAACCCAGGUUUUCUGUCCCCUCGUGUUACUUUUCCUCAGCAGCACACGUGGAUGAAAGGGUCUGCUCAGAGUUAUAGCACGUGCAUCGCCUAGGGCCAAACUGAAGAAUUCACAGUGUAAUGGUGUGCUCAUUUUGCUGACUGGGAUAGAUUCAGGAAGGAUUUCUGGAAAUAGCAGGCCCCAAAGCAACUGAACUGAAAAAGAAAAAAAGGAAUGGGAAGCCACAGAAGUAGAGGAUGGAAUGUGUUUAGGUGCUUACAGAAAAUCCUCACUAAAAUAUUGUGCAGGGCUAGACAGGCAGGUAAGGUUGGCCUUCGCACAUAGUCCUAAAAGGGGAAUAGCAGAAAUUAGAAUGUGUAAAAAUAGAAGGAAGCUAGUGCCGGGUCCAAAUUUGAAACUAACCAAAAGUCCCCUGGGGUACGCGUGCAUCCUGCCCUCAGAGCCUCUUUUCACCCCAUCGGUUCCUGGCACCAAUGCGACCCAGCAUCUUCUUCCAGUUGGGACAAAACUUCCUCUGACACACUCACCCAGGCUAAGGUAGUGCACACUUGAAAUACUCCCCCCUGUGGGCCAUUCCAAUUUUCAAAGGUCGUAAGGGGGAGGAGAUGAUUAACCCAUAUGGACUUAUCACUAAUGGUGACAUGUCAAUCAUUGAUGAGGUAGUGGUUUCUUGGGCUUGUCACCUGACAGAAAGGAGGGCGCUUAUAUACGUCAUCUGUGACUAACUUGACAGAGGGUGUGGUGAACCCCGGUGGGGGGGUGGGGCUUGUGCUCAGCACAAUCUUCCUGCUGGGAGAUUAGUUCAGAACCCAUUGCCACUGGACCCAGACUCCAGCCCCUGGUCCACUGCUAACAAUGGGUGACUGAGGACAGAGCACUGCUCCCGGCUGGCUUCCUCUUUUUUCCCUCACUUAGUAGGAAAGCUAUGCAUGGCCUCAAAGACCCCUUGUCAUCUGACUGUAUGAUUCUAGCUGUUCCCUCAUCCUUCCCUUACUUGGGAAAUUUCCCUUGUUUCUGAUAUUAAAACAGUAACCGUGCCUUUCUGAUAGCCUCAUAGUAAAUAAGAUCAUCUCUAUAAAAAGGGCUUAGAUAAAUUCCUGACACACAGAAAGCACCCAUAGAUGUUAAGUCUGCAUCAUUUUAAAUGCGGAUGAAUGAUAAAUCGGCAGGUUUUUACACCUCCCCUGAUUCUCUCUAUAAGGCACAACACACAGGCUCAUCAUUAUCAAAGUGUACAUUUCCACCAAUUUAUGGCGUGUUAGGAAGAACAAUUCCCUUAAGACUAAUCGAUCUAAUACAAUACCUCGCUCCAGCUAUGUUAAGAAUCUCUCAGUGGCUCUUCGUGGCCUCUGAGAUAAAGUGCCCUCUCCCUGGUUGUCUUAUGGUCUACUGCUUCCCUUCAUACACCGUGGUUGACUCGAGCUCAUGAAAUAUACCAUGCACUAUAUAUGCAUAUAUUUGGCACCAAUGGCUCCUUCUACGUGGAAUGCAUUUUCCCAGCCCUCGCCCCUUCUGCCCGGCGCUAUAGCAUUCACCCUUCAAGGCCCGAGUCAAAGGUCACUUUCUUUGUGAGCCUCUGCUUCCUUCCCUUGGCAGACAGGAGUUCUCCUCCUUCUCCAGAUUCACAGGUCGCUUUAUUUGCUCCUCCAGCAGAGCAUGCAUCUCAAUCUAAGUCAACCUGCACCAGUGGGUUGGCCGGCGUUCUCUCCUCGAAAGAUGCUUGAGGGCGCAGAUUCUGUCUUACUCAUGCCCUGUGAUCACCUCGAAGGCCAGGAGGAGAGAGGUCAAGAGAUGACCCUGGGGUCAGUGGGUAGGAAAAGUGCCCGAAGAUGUGGUGAAGCGGGAAGGACGUUAAGAGCAAAACCCCUGACCAACCAACCUGGCCGAAAAAACAAAGAUAAAUGUUGGAGCCAGGAGGGAAGCUGACAGACAGAAAAUCUUGUGCCAGCUGCAGGGAGGCUCAGAGGCAUAACCACUCUGGGGGCAGAGAGGCAGUCCUGGGAUGACUGGGCUGGAGUCAUGUGGCUGGUGAGGCCAGGUGGCCCGGAUCUAAACACGUACAACAUGGUACGUGCUAGCAUUUCUUUGACGCAGUUUCUGAGAGAUUUAGCUCAGAGUGGGAGCAACACAGAUCUGUAUGGGAUACGUAAGGAUCUAGAUGCUCUCAAUCCCCUGAAAGCCCAGCACAUAGGAGGCCUUGAGCACGCGCUACAGUACUUUCAGCCACGGGUGGCCUCAGCUUCUUCCCACUGCCCUUCCCCUCACUCUCCACCGGCGCUCCCAACAGACAUAUGCGCUGCCCUCCAACUCUGCAUCCAUUUCUGGUGCUUCCCCCAUUCCAAUCACCCGACACACGUCAAGCUCGCUUCCACCCCUUUACGACCUGCCACGUUCUCACCAGGAUUCCUCCUGGCUUGCUCCCUCAUUUCCUUUAUUUUGGUCCUCAGAUAGCCCGAACUGAUUAAAAAUGAAAAGGCAAAUCUUCCCCGUAUCCACGCUAAUGCACUCUCCAUCCCUGCAACCUAGCUUUAUUUUUCAGCCUAACAUGUUCAUUACCUGACUUCCUGCAUAUUUACUUGUUGAGCACUUGAUUUCCAUCUCUGGCCCCGUAGCAUGUUGCAUUUCCAGAGGGCAGGGACUCCUCUAUUUUGUUCUCUGAUGUAUCCCAACACCUCUAGCAAGGCUUAGGUCACAGUAGGCACUAAAUAAAACUAAGCAGAGUGAAGCCAGAAUGCUCCAUUACUUCCAGCUACGACAAGUCAUUGGACGAAAAAUGGAUGCUGUCUCACUCCAUCUACAUAUGUCUCUCUAACGCCAGCUUGAAUCUCCAUGAAGUUCACUGCCUAUCUGAAGGCAGCCCAUGUUCAGGUGCGGACGUUACAAUGCUUCAGUCACUCCAAAAGCCCCAAUUCUCUCCGAACCGUACAUAUUGCCUCCCCUUCCUUAUUAAUAAAUCCCAGCAUACCCACCCACGCAAUCACAACUGGCUCUGACACUCAAUGUCAUUUCUCCAAAGGAAUGGGGAGAAUGUAGCAGAAAGCAAAAGUUGGAAACCUCUCAGAGCAUCCCUGCUACCAUUCCAGCUCAUUUUGAAUGGAAGCUGAUAAAGAUUGACUACCGUUAUGUGGUAGCGAUUCAUCAUACUUAGAGUCUCUCUUUUGAACAUCAAUCUUAUAAAUUCACCGGGAGACAUAAUAGUGUAAAUAUAUUAUUCAUAAACUAGAGUGAAUCCCCACUCACCACCAUAACCAUUUUGGCAAUAAAUCAUAACAUGUAAAUGGUU